Molecule: transfer RNA, 63 nt
Organism: Cavia porcellus (domestic guinea pig)
Lineage: Eukaryota; Metazoa; Chordata; Mammalia; Rodentia; Caviidae
Rfam family: tRNA
About the family: Transfer RNA (tRNA) molecules are approximately 80 nucleotides in length. Their secondary structure includes four short double-helical elements and three loops (D, anti-codon, and T loops). Further hydrogen bonds mediate the characteristic L-shaped molecular structure. tRNAs have two regions of fundamental functional importance: the anti-codon, which is responsible for specific mRNA codon recognition, and the 3' end, to which the tRNAs corresponding amino acid is attached (by aminoacyl-tRNA synthetases). tRNAs cope with the degeneracy of the genetic code in two manners: having more than one tRNA (with a specific anti-codon) for a particular amino acid; and 'wobble' base-pairing, i.e. permitting non-standard base-pairing at the 3rd anti-codon position.
Source: Rfam
GGGGAUUUAGCUCAGCGGCAUAAGCGCCUGCCUUGUAAGCAGGUAGUCAUGAGUUGAUCCCCG